This 253-nucleotide ribosomal RNA is filed under the name uncultured bacterium. RNAcentral describes it as "partial 16S ribosomal RNA". It matches the Rfam family "Bacterial small subunit ribosomal RNA", at positions 524 to 776 of the family's 1533-position model. The record is from RNAcentral.
UACGUAGGGGGCAAGCGUUGUCCGGAUUCAUUGGGCGUAAAGAGCUCGUAGGCGGUUCGGUAAGUCGGGUGUGAAAUCUCGGGGCUUAACUCCGAAACUGCAUUCGAUACUGCCGUGCUUGAGGACUGGAGAGGAGACUGGAAUUCAUGGUGUAGCAGUGAAAUGCGUAGAGAUCAUGAGGAAGACCAGUGGCGAAGGCGGGUCUCUGGACAGUUCCUGACACUGAGGCACGAAGGCCAGGGGAGCAAACGGG